RNAcentral lists this long non-coding RNA (351 nucleotides) under Pan troglodytes (chimpanzee). Its description in RNAcentral is "long non-coding RNA NONPTRT018269". The record is from RNAcentral. Lineage: Eukaryota; Metazoa; Chordata; Mammalia; Primates; Hominidae.
GGGAGGUGAGUGGCAAGGCUGCCCAUCAAUGACCCCAGGGGAUGGAGCAUGUGACCUCGGGGAGAGGGUGAGAAGGAGAAAGUGACACCUUGGGGAAGGUGUGAGCCCCAGGGUCCAAGGACUGGUGGGAAGGUCUGAAGAGAUGCUGAAUAAACUAAGAGGCAGAGAGGAAUUUUCCUAAGUUCACACAGCUGGUAAAUUGGUAGAACCAGGAUAUGAACCCAGGAAGUCUGGCUCCAGCACCUGUUACUCUUAGCCACUGUGCUAACUUAUCAGUACACCAUCUUUUUUUUUUCAGCACACCAUCUUGUAUGUCUGUAAAAGAUACCUGAUAAUACUAUUUGCUUCCAG